CACUAUAAUUUCCCUAUAAAUUAAACCUGCUUGUUGCUUUAAUAGUUGGCUCAAUCUUUAUGGUUUUAAAAUGGGAGUAUUUAAAAAUAUUGAGCACCAGAAUGGUGUUGGAUUCAUAAGAAAGCUCUUGUUACAAGGUCAUUUAUUACAGCAACAUAUAUAAUGAAUAUAGAGUUGUGGCACUAUAUUUAUCCAUACACUGAUCAGCCACAACAUUAAAGGGACACUAAAGUCACCCAGAACAACUACAGCUUAAUGAAUUUGUUCUGCUGAGUAGAAUCAUUACCUUCAGGCUUUUUUCUGUAAACACUGUCUUUUCAGAGAAAAUGCAGUGUUUACAUUACAGCCUAGUGAUAACUUCACUGGCCACUCCUCAGAUGGCUGUUAGAGAUCCUUCCUGGGUCAUGGCUGCCUAAAAUGUAUCCAAACAUUCAGUGUCUCCUCCCUCUGCAUAAAGACACUGCACUUUCCUUAUAGAGAUUCAUUGAUUCAAUUCAUCUCUAUGAGGAGAUGCUGAUUGGUCAGGGCUGUGUUUGAAUUGUGCUGGAUCUGCCACUUUGUCAGUCUCAGCCAAUCCUAUGGGGAAUCAUUGUGAUUGGAUCUGGCUACCACUUCUGAUGAUGUCGGCAGACAGCUUGUUUUUCUGAGGCAAACAGCAUGCAGAUCUACAGCUUCAGGCUUGAAUACAGUAAGAUUUUGCUAUAUUUAUGGAGGCAUGAGGGGCCCAGGGUGGCUAUAUGGUGGUUUUAACCCUAUAGGGUCAGGGAUACAGGUUUGUG
Molecule: non-coding RNA, 779 nt
Organism: Pelobates cultripes (western spadefoot toad)
Lineage: Eukaryota; Metazoa; Chordata; Amphibia; Anura; Pelobatidae
Source: the annotation of a GenBank genome assembly